AGAGGGAGCAAGCGUUGUUCGGAAUUACUGGGCGUAAAGGGCGCGUAGGCGGUCUGGAAAGUCUCGCGUGAAAUCCCCCGGCUCAACUGGGGAACUGCGCGGGAAACUGCCAGUCUUGAGUUCGGGAGAGGGAAGCGGAAUUCCGGGUGUAGCGGUGAAAUGCGCAGAUAUCCGGAGGAACAUCGGUGGCGAAGGCGGCUUCCUGGACCGACACUGACGCUGAGGCGCGAAAGCUAGGGGAGCAAACGGGAUUAGAUACCCCGGGUAGUCCUAGCUGUAAACGUUGAGUGCUGGGUGUUGGGGGUGUCAACCCCCUCCAGUGCCGAAGCUAACGCAUUAAGCACUCCGCCUGGGGAGUACGGUCGCAAGGCUG
RNAcentral lists this ribosomal RNA (373 nucleotides) under uncultured organism. RNAcentral's name for it is "partial 16S ribosomal RNA". It matches the Rfam family "Bacterial small subunit ribosomal RNA", at positions 527 to 896 of the family's 1533-position model. The record is from RNAcentral.